Molecule: long non-coding RNA, 3448 nt
Filed under: Heterocephalus glaber (naked mole-rat)
Lineage: Eukaryota; Metazoa; Chordata; Mammalia; Rodentia; Bathyergidae
Description: lncRNA (ENSHGLG00000039225.1)
Source: RNAcentral
AAUGCACAGAGUUGCAUUUUACUCACAGCCAGCUGUGUACUCUUCCAUUGCACUACUGGCGGGAAUCUUCCCUUUUCAGUUCAAGGCUGCUGUGAAUCACAAUGUAUAAACAUUCUUCUGCAUCAUCUCUUAGUGCCUAAGGAUGUAGGAGGAAGUGGAAAUGUGGAUUACUGUUUUAUGAGUUCCAUGCUGCAGAUUUCAUUUAGGAGCAGGGGCCCUUUGUCAGGUGCAUGUGCUGGGAAUGACUUUCCCAAGUCUUUGGCUUGGCUUUUCACUCUCUUGACAGUGUCUACUCAUUAACUGUAAAUUUUAAUGUAGUUCAAAUGUUGCCUGUGAGAAGUGUUUUGGGGGCCCCGUUUCAAAAAUUUUCCACAAUUACUCUGACUCUCUUAACACACCUGCUAGAAGUUUUAUUGUUUUCCCUUUUCACGUAUAGAAUGCAGUCACAUUACCUUUGUCAAGUGCAGAGCUCACGGUUGUACGUGCUACACCUUCCCAUGACUGUCAGGGCAGUGGUUUGUUUAUACAGCACCAUCACAAACACAAGAGCAACACAGUGGACUGUGACAUUAGAUGGCUGCAUCAUUAGGUAACAGGAAUAGGUCAAAGCAUUAUAGUCUUAUGGGGCCAGCAUCAUAUAUGCAGUCCAUCACUGACUGAAAUGCUGUGAGGUACAUGACUACUACCCUUGUCUUUCCUCUUGCAAAAUUACAGAAAAACACUGAAGCCUGGGAUGACACUAUCUUCCUUCAGAGAGUUUUUAUGUUGGCUUCUGUUGGUCACCAGUGGACACUAGCACCUGCAGAUAGCUGGGCACCAGGUCUCAGGUAACAAGGUGGUUUAGAACUGAGCUGCAGUCUCUGACGGAGUGAAGUACUUCUGGCAGUGGGGAGAAGAAAGAUCAAUCAUCUUUCACAGUGAACAGCAGGGCUGCUUUAUCAAAAGUGGAAAUAGAAGCAAGAAUGAACCAGGGAAAGGAACUGGUCAGCAGCAACAGCCUAGCGGCAGCCCUGUAACUACCAGGUCAAGUCCCCAGGACCACGGGGUGGUUGUGACAGAGAAUGGAAGCAGGGAACAUGGGAGAGACUUUGCCUAGGACCUCAGUAAGGGUGUUCAAAGCCUGGGAAGGACAGUCCUUUGAUUAGCUGACCUAUUGCAGGUGGGCUCCUGUCCCAUGAAAGGGAAUCAAGUGGUCAGCAAGCUGGAAGUCCAGAGAAACAAAGUGGAUGUUUUGGUUAAAUGUCUUUGAGUAAUUCCAGCUAAAACACUCUGUGCUUUUAUGAAAACAGCAAGCCUGAUGAGGUCUGUUUUGCAUCCAAAAGAAGAUCCUCGGGCUUCUUCAAGAAAAGGAUUGAAUUGGAUACACCGAAUCAGCCUGCUGCAGACAGGCAGGUCUGUGCACGCCCUACCGAGGUCCUGAGUCGCACGGAAGAUGCCGAAUCACCCCACUGCAGACAGGCAGCCACCUGGUUCCACACUACAAAGACACAGAGGACACCAGACCACCAGACCAAGGUACUGAGUCCCGCUGCUUCCGGCCCAGAGGUAGGGGCUUCUGAGGCACUGUCUCACUGCUCCUGGUCCACAGGAAGGGGCUUCCCGGUCACCAUCCCUCCCGCUGCUCCCAGCCCAGAGGAAAGGGCUUUUGGGCCACCUUCUGUCCCGCUGCUCCUGGCCCAGAGGAAGGGGCUUCCAGGCCACCAUCCCUCCCACAGCUCCCGGCCCAGAGGUAGGGGCUUCUGAGCCGCCAUCCCACUGCUCCUGGUCCAGAGGAAGAGGCUUCCCGGCCACCAUCCCUUCCGCUGCUCCCAGCCCACAGGAAAGGGCUUUUGGGUCACCAUCCCCACCGCUGCACCUGGCCCCUGGCCCACCUCUCCCAGCUCAGAGGAGGUAAUCCGUGCAGGCUCUAACAGCCCCCCACCCCAGUUCUGCUUGCCAAUGGGCUCCUGUAGCAGUGUAUACUAGAAAAACAGAUGUAAUACAAGAUAUGCAAACACAUAAGGAUUUACAGAUUGGUGUAAAAUGGCCACCCACAGAGUCAGCCGUGGAAGCGUGCAAAAGGGCCCUUUGAGCACUGGGGAUCUGAAGGAUCCAGUCGAAAGCCUGGAGCUCCGUGUAGAGUCCUGUGCAAAUCCCUAUCAGGAGGCCGAAGGGUCUGCAAUGGAAGGCUAAGGAUCUGUGCUGGGAGCCAGAGGAUGACGUCCAAGGUGAAAGUGAAGACUGGGGCUCCUUCAAAGGAGACAGAAGCAAUCCUUCCUUCUUUUCCCUUGUAUGGCAUUCCUGCGAUAAUCCUUCCUAGGGUGUGUUUUCCCCACCCAGAACUAUGCUGAGCCAAUUUUGUUGAGUGUUUCUUACUGAAGUUGACACAAUCAACUAUCAUAACCCUGAAUGUUAUAUUACCAGUAUGGCAGACAGGAUGUGGCUAAUGGUAUAGUAGUGGUACUUAUGCUGAUUGAACCUUGUGCUCACUUCAAGGGAGAGGUCCCACAACUGGUACUGUAAUCCAGGACAAAAGCCUGUGGCUGGGGAAGUCAUAGGCCCCAGGAGCAAAGCCUCUGCUGCUGUUUUGUUAAAUGGGUAUGAUGUGUCAAUGAAACUGCCACCUAAACAUUUGUGUCUGCACCCACAUUACUGUCAUUGCUGGCCACAGCUGAGGGGGACCUCUUUUUGCAGUGGGCCGUGACCAUAGUGGCAACCCACAGUAAGUUCAGCUUUUGGGUAUAUAGUGAACUUCUCCUCUCCAGUCAAGCAGUCAUGCUCUGGAAUGUGCUGCCCUUUUCCCUUCAAACUAGAAUAACUUUUUGGGGACCCCAGAACCAAGAGGGGGGCCUUCCUUUAAGUAAUAUAAGUAAGAGAACAUGUAAAUGAAUCCUGGCCUGUGCACACUUAGUUGGAGACAUGGGCUCUUGAUUGAAGUUUGUGUUAUUCUAGGAGUGCACCUGCUGGUGCAGUCUGCACUGUGGCUGUGUCCUAACAAUCCAGUGCUCAACUCUCAGUCAAAGGAGAUAAUGUUGCCCAGUCAGGAAAAGGCUCAGGAAAUGGCAGGGAGGGGACAGAAAGAUUGUCAGACCUGAAGAAAGAGAUGAAGUGUAGUGAGAAUUGGCCUCUGAACUCCUGCUAAAGUAACUCAUCUUGUAGAGCACCCCGUCCCCUGGCAGGUGCCAAGGCUGGGUGCCAGACUGCACCAUAACAAGGGGCUCAUCACUGCUGGUAGAUAGAGCUUACUGAGACAGGCAGAGUUUCUUGAUAAGGAUGAAAUGGGGGGGUUACACACAGCGUUUCCCAAGGACACUUCUUGCUUUUCAUCCUGCUUUUGUCAUUUUCAUUAGUCCCCUAUAAAACCAGUACCCUACCACAGAGAGGUGGGCGACUUCAGUAGUGCUAUAGCCCACAAAUCAUCCACCAUCUGUGAAUAACCCCUAAUAAAUUCAUUUACCCAUUUAUUAUC